This 1583-nucleotide long non-coding RNA is filed under the name Homo sapiens (human). RNAcentral describes it as "long non-coding RNA NONHSAT204372.1". The record is from RNAcentral. Lineage: Eukaryota; Metazoa; Chordata; Mammalia; Primates; Hominidae.
CUGGAGGUCUUCCUCCCUGUAAGGGUGAUGUGUGAGUGGGUAUCUGGCUCAGAAUAUUAAUGUUUGAAGUGUCAUAUCCAUAUUUUAGUUCCUGGAAGGAACUAAUUUAAUUAAUUUAUAAUUAUUAUUUUAUUCCAAGUUCCAAUACUGCCCUUGUGUCUGAGCAACAAAGGAUGACUCAUGCAGAUAAUCCUGGGGAAGCUUUGAUUGUGGCUAGCAAAGCAAUCUUGGAACUGAAAUUCCUCAGUAUCCUUGCUUUGAUUCCUUGAAGAGAAUUGACACAGACUCCAGGUUUUGGUGAAGCAAAGAAUUCCUGCUUCCUUGACUCUGUUUUUGUCUCGCCAGAACACAAAGAGGCAUUGAAUUUCACUAUUAAGGCCUUAAUUAGUAACCUUGUUUGUGAAAUUGAAACAAAGGUCUCACUGAACAGGCUGGUGCUCUGGCAAUGGCUGUUCCAUGCUCUCCAAAGACCCAGAAUCAAGGCUUGCAAUGAAAUCACUUUUCCUCAUGACUAAACUAAAUCUCUCUUGCAUGUUAAAAGUUAGUCUUUAAAACGCUGCGCAGUCAGAACAUUGCUUUGUCUUACACAUUUCCCUGUUACCUGGCAGGCCCCAAAUGUUACAUAAGCAUUCUCUGCAGCUGUAACCCCUACUCAGAAGAGGCUUGAUUUGUUAUUUGCACACAUGAUAACAUGUGGCAUAAGUAAAGCUGGGAAGAUGUUUGUUUGUAAGGGGUAAUCUGUGUCUAUCAAAGCAGAUAGUAUUGGUUUUGCCUAGUUUCCAAACAUGGUUUUAUAAGUCAGUAUAUCUUGUGAAACCAUUAGGACAAAAGUUUGGAACAAAAAGAAAUCUCAGGCUCAUUGCAAAGCUUUUUUAACGUUUUCAGUUCCCUCCAUGUUCUGAGCAUUAUCAUAACGUACUGAACUGUUCUGUUCAGAGACCACUAGGGAGAGGAGAUGAGGAACCAGAGCAGCCAGGAUGUUUCUCCCUGGGAUAAAAUCUCAAGCAUUCAGACACCCUCACUGUGGGCUCCACUUCUGUAGCUAGAGGGGACUGGAAACAGCAGGAGCAUCUCACAGCUUGUAGGAAGCACACAUCUUUUUCCCAAAUGUUUCUUUUUGCAGUUGGUCCUUGCUGGCUGAUCCAGCUUCCCCGUCAGCAUAUGGUGAGCAGUUCGGUGAGAGGACCACACUUCCAAUACUGGCAGAUGAAGCCAGAUACUCCUCUAUGAAGUUAAAUGACUGGUUCAGUGUUAACACUGCUAGUGAGCGACAGAGAUGGAAUUUGAACGCACACCUGUCUGACUCCACCUCGUGUUCCUUCCACAUGGCCAGCAAGCUCUGCUGUCCCACCUCGCACUUCUGGGAGGUGGCUACUCCCUCUUUCCACCCCCUUUUCUGGAUCUUGACAAGGGAUUCUACCCUGCCCCAGCUGUCAAAGCCUGCAGCAGCUGCCAAAAAACCUCAACACAGGCAUACUUUGGACCUACAUCAUGUGUUGAUGUCACAGAUGCUGUACCAGGCAUUUGACUCCUUGAUCUAAAGCCAGGAUUCCUAGCCAACAUGGCGAAACCCUGUCUCUACU